Molecule: transfer RNA, 86 nt
Organism: Felis catus (domestic cat)
Lineage: Eukaryota; Metazoa; Chordata; Mammalia; Carnivora; Felidae
Rfam family: tRNA
About the family: Transfer RNA (tRNA) molecules are approximately 80 nucleotides in length. Their secondary structure includes four short double-helical elements and three loops (D, anti-codon, and T loops).
Source: Rfam
GCCUGGGUGGCUCAGUCAGUUGAGCGUCCGACUUUGGCUCAGGUCAUGAUCUCGUGGUUUGUGGGUUCGAGCCCCCACAUCAGGCU